RNAcentral lists this small RNA (683 nucleotides) under Pan troglodytes (chimpanzee). RNAcentral describes it as "retained intron". Lineage: Eukaryota; Metazoa; Chordata; Mammalia; Primates; Hominidae. The record is from RNAcentral.
AUACAAGAAGUCACUGAGAUAUGUUUGUACAAUGGAUGGGAAUUUGGCUUUCUGUCUUCAUGGAAGAACUUGGCCUCCUUUUUCCUCUUCCCUCUUUCAUCCACGGAAACAGUAUUUAGAAGAGCACAGAUUCAGCGUUGUGGUUGUGCCGUCACCAUUUCCAUGUAUGAAGAGAUGGCCCGCAUCAGUUCUGUGACGUGCCCAAAAUCACACGAAGCGAGUUAAUCACAGACCCAGAUUUUCUCAUUCGCAAUAUGCUGCAUACUUGUCCAUACUAAAUUGUCUUUAAACAGUGACAAACAUUUAAAAGCAGAUUUGGGAGCCACUUGUUUUGCUGUGGAGCCUGAAAGGCUGAUUCAUAAGGAAUUUCAAAUAAUGGCAGUGACCACGGCCUCAUUAGCCAGCUUGGUCCCCCUCAGUAUGAUGAAGAAACUGGACUGAGAGAAGAACCCCAGGUUGAAGAGAACUCUCUGUGUUCUGCCCACCUGUGCUGCUGAAAAUACAGACACCAGUGAGGCCCUGAAGAGAGUAAGUGAACCAGGAAGAGAGAAAAAUCACACACGUGAAUCCUCACAGCCUGAAGGGCAUUUGGCACAGAAGGUGUCUCAAAAAGUCAGCUGAGGGAACAUCCAGAUGUCACGCAAAAGGAUGUUUUCUCCUGAAUGAAGACUUACAAUAUAGAU